UUUAGUUAAAAACCUAAGAAAUAGGAUAUUAAUUUUUCUUGUCUGAAUCUUAUGUUUUAUCCAAAAGUUUGGCCACAAAUUUCCAGCACAUUGCUGAAACCAGAAUUCUUCCAGUGACUACUUUUGUGAAGGAACGAACUGUUUUCAUAAAUCAAGCUUAAGGAGUUAUGAGUCUAAUAAUCAUCAUUAUUGUCAUCAUUCCAGAUCUUCAUGGAAUGCUACUAUGAGCUGAAUGGGAUGCCUGAGAUACUGCCUCUAGGAAGCAAAGUGGCUCAAGAGGCUGGCUGGCAAGAUGGCCGAAUAGGAACAGCUCCAGUCUGCAGCUCCUAGUGAGAUCAACGCCAAAGGCGGGUGACUUCUGCAUUUCCAACUGAGAUACCCAGCUCAUCUCACUGGGACUGGUUAGACAGUGGGUGCAGCCCAUGGUGGGUGAACUGAAGCAGGGUGUGGCAUCGCCUCACCUGGGAAACACAAGGGGUUGGGGAACUCUCUCCCCUAGCCAAAGGAAGCCAUGAGGGACUGUGCUGUGAGGAACAGUGCAUUCCAGCCUAGAUACUACAUUUUUCCCAUGGUCUUCGCAACCUGUAGACCAGGAGAUUCCCUUGGGUUCCUAUACCACCAGGGGCCUGGGUUUCAAGCACAAAACUGGGCAGCCAUUUGAGCAGACACCAACCUAGCUGCAGGAGUUUUUUUUUUUUUUUUUUUUUUUUUUUUUUUUCAUACCCCAGUGGUGCCUGGAACACCAGUGAGACAGAAGUGUUCAUUCCCCUGGAAAGGGGGCUGAAGCCAGGGAGCCAAGUGGUCUAGAUCAGCAGAUCCCAACCCCAUGGAGUGCAGCAAGCUAAGAUCACUGGGUUGAAAUUCUCGCUGCCAGCACAGCAGUCAGAAGUCAACCUGGGAGCUUGAGCUUGGUGGGGGGAGAAGUGUCAACCAUUACUGAAGCUUGAGUAGGUGGUUUUCCCCACACAGUGUAAACAAAGUUACCAGGAAGUUCAAACUGGGCAGAGCCCAACAUGGCUCUGGAAAGCCACUGUCGCCAGACUGCCUCUCUAGAUUCCUCCUCUCUGGGCAGGGCAUCUCUAAAAGAAAGGCAGCAGCCCCAGUGAGGGGUUUAUAGAUAAAACUCUCAUCUCCCUGGGACAAAGCACCUGGGCGAAGGGGCAGCUGUGGGUACAGCUUCAACAGACUUAAACGUUCCUGCCUGCCAGCUCUGAAGAGAGCAGCAGAUCUCCCAGCGCAGUGCUUGAGCUCUGCUAAGGGACAGACUGCCUCCUCAAAUGGAUCCCUGAACCCCGUGCCUCCUGACUCAGAGACAACUCCCAGUAGGAGUCGACAGAUACCUCAUACAGGAAAGCUCCAGCUGGCAUCUGGCAGGUGCCCCUCUGAGAUGAAGCUGCCAGAGGAAGGAACAGGCAGCAAUCUUUGCUGUUCUGCAGCCUCCGCUGUUGAUACCCAGGCAAACAGGGUCUAGAGUGGACCUCCAGCAAACUCCAGCAGACCUGCAGCAGAGGGGCCUGACUGUUGGAAGGAAAACUAACAAGCAGAAAGGAAUACCAUGAACAUCAACAAAAAGGGCAUCCACACAGAAACCUUAUCCGAAGGUCACCAACAUCAAAGACCAAAGGUAGAUAAAGCCACGAAGAUGAGGAAAAACCAGCACAAAAAGGCUGAAAAUUCCAAAAACCAGAGCACCUCUUCUCCUCCAAAGGAUCACAACUCCUCAACAGCAAGGAAACAAAACUGGAUGGAGAAUGAUUUUGACGAAUUGAUAGAAGUAGGCUUCAGAAGGUGGGUAAUAACAAACAUGAGUAGAACAUGCUAAAGGAGCAUGUUCUAACCCAAUGCAAGGAAGCUAAGAACCUUGAAAAGGGGAGAUUUCAAGAUGGCCAAAUAGGAACAGCUCCAGUCUACAGCUCCCAGUGUGAGCAGCACAGAAGAUGGGUGACAUCUGCAUUUCCAACUGAGGUACUGGGUGCCUACACCACCAGGGCCCUGGGUUUCAAGCACAAAGCUGGGCAGCCAUUUGGGCAGACACCAACCUAGCUGGGAC
RNAcentral lists this long non-coding RNA (2050 nucleotides) under Homo sapiens (human). RNAcentral's name for it is "HSALNT0087708". Lineage: Eukaryota; Metazoa; Chordata; Mammalia; Primates; Hominidae. The record is from RNAcentral.